GCCCGCAGCUGGCAGGGAGCGAGCUGCCCGGGCUGGGCUCCAGCGUGGUGCCACAAGCCCUCUGGCCAGCCUGGGCACGACCCGGGGGUCCGCGGCCCAAAGCCCACGGAACUGUCGCGGGUGGAAGAGACCUCAAAGCUGCGGGAGCCCAGCCCUGAGCAUGCCGCAGCCUGCCUGCUCCCGGCAGGGGUGAACCCAGCCUGGGCUGCUGCUGCUGCUGCCUCCGGAGCUGACCAGCCCAGAGCCCGUGCCCGCAGGUGCCCCUGGGCAGCAGCAGGGUGCUCCUUGCCAGGCUGCUCUGCGGGAUGACACCGAGCUGCGGGACAAUGGCAAUGCUUCGCUGGCACCACCCCGGCAAGGGGCACAGCCUGUGGCGAGAGGCACAGCAGGGAGCAGUGCAGGGGCCCCGAGUGCCAUGGAGGUGCUGCUGGCUGCCAGGUGCCAGCUGCAGCAGGCGCUGAAGGCAGGGCAGAGCUGGGCAGGGCGCAGCUGAUGGAUGAGUUCCAUCAGGUGCUACAACAAUCCAGAACAUUCUGCAGCAGCCCCCGGGGUGCUCUGCAGAUCAAAGGUGCUAUUUCACCGUCCUGCUCUGCCACCUUCCCCUGGCAGCUCAGCCCUGAGGGGCUCCUUCGGACAAAGCCCAGCCCAGAGCUCAGCACUCAACAGCGAGGGGCAGGGGAGACCCCCCCGGAAAGGGCAAGAGCCGAACUGCAGCCCUGCCCUGCCUGCCGAGGAGCUGCUGCCUGCAGAAGCCACCAGAAGCAAGCCUGAAAACAGCAGGGGAGGCAAUGCCAGCCCCAGGGCAGGGGGUGGGUACCACCAGCAGCCCCCUCGGGCCCGCAGCUGAGACGCAUUGCAUGCCCACCCAGGGCCCCAGCAGCGAGGCACAAACCUGCUCCACCUAACAGUCA
Long non-coding RNA from Pogoniulus pusillus (Red-fronted tinkerbird), 911 nucleotides. RefSeq lists it as uncharacterized. NCBI's taxonomy places the organism in Eukaryota, Metazoa, Chordata, Aves, Piciformes, Lybiidae. The transcript is spliced from 2 exons. The record is from RefSeq and is a predicted model, not a curated record.